Molecule: non-coding RNA, 46 nt
Organism: Sarcophilus harrisii (Tasmanian devil)
Lineage: Eukaryota; Metazoa; Chordata; Mammalia; Dasyuromorphia; Dasyuridae
Source: Rfam
CAAAAGGUUUUUUUCAAAACCAUGAGAAAGAAAACAAACAAAAAGU